This 346-nucleotide ribosomal RNA is filed under the name Parascutigera guttata. RNAcentral describes it as "partial 12S ribosomal RNA". The record is from RNAcentral. Lineage: Eukaryota; Metazoa; Arthropoda; Chilopoda; Scutigeromorpha; Scutigeridae.
UUUUACAGUAAAUUAUUUAUUGGAGUAGUAGUAGAGCUCUUGAAACUUAAAGAAUUUGGCGGUAUAUUAAUCUAUUUAGAGGAACCUGUCCUUUAAUCGAUAGUCCCCGCAUAUUUAACCUGAAUUUGUAUUUCAGCUUGUAUAUCGCUGUCGUAAGAUUAUUUUUUGAGAAAUUUUUCAGAAAUAAGUUUUUAUUUAUGUCAAGUCAAGGUGCAGUAGAUAUUCAGGGUUGAGAUGGGUUACAAUUUAGGGAUGAUACGGAUGUUUUCUUGUAAAUGAUUAUUGAAGGUGGAUUUAAUUGUAAUAUAGGGUUAGCUAUUUUAUAUGAAAAAGUGCUAAUGUAUGU